AAUCGAACGUUUACUUUGUAUACCUCAUAUCACCGUCCAAAUUGAAUUUCUAAAUGAAUUUUUAGUACAAAAGCUCACAAGUGCUCGGAUAACCGAGUGAACUCGAGUGAACGAGCAAAAUCUUAUAAUAUUUGCAAAGGAGAUUGUAGGCGUGAAGACUCCACCAGAAACAACUACCUGCAAUAGCGUAACUUUACUAAGCGCCGGUGUAUUAGAGAUCGCGUGAUAACGAUGAUAAAGAAAUGACACAUCAAAAACGAGACAGACAAUCAGAUGUAGGUUUGAGGUUUCAUUGGAGGAAAGAGGACAGAUCCUGGGGAUGAAACCCAAAGCGAUUAACUUCCGCCAAAGAUCGCGUAGGUAUUAGUUACUUAUAAGGCCAAAUGGGCCCAUCUUAUUCUCCUCGCUUGAACAACUCGGUCACUUCUAAAGUUCGCUCAGAACCAUCCAGACGUAGUCUACCAGGCGUUUUUAAGUAGUGAAGCCAAAGAAAAGGCAAAAGGCAAGUUUUAGCGUGACCGGCUUAGAGCUGUAGUGAGAGCGACUGACUGGUGAUUAACUAGAGAUUACCUAGUGCAGUUAGGAGAAACAAGAUUAUCGAGAGUGUUACAAGGUGAAUUCUGAGGUGUUCAGAACACCUUGAACGUAGAUACUGUGACAUCCCGAAACCAUAGCAGACAAGAUCUUGGAUUUCCGAAGAUCGACACAGAGAAAAGCCACACCACGUGGCUUUUUUGUGUCUUCGUUGGUUUUUUCCGUGCUAGAUAACCUGCGGGCCCUCUCCACGUGCCAUGGAGGGACGAUUAGAUCCAGAGGUCGUUUCAAGCUGGUUUGGAUCGUCUACGAAGUGCGCGGAGGCAAAAGUUUAGGGGAUUCGCAACGUGGAUGAUCAGAAGAACAUCUCCCCCUUCCGAUUCGGCAGAGGCCGUAGGUCGAUCGAGCAACGAUCGCGGAAGAUCCCCCGUGCACCCGGACAUAAGCCUCGUGAACUGAAUCUACAGCGCGUAUCCGAAAGGAAGAUCCGUAGACCCAUCGUGGAGACCACGUGCGCUUCACCCACGCGACACGUGUGAACAAUCCAAGGCGUCGAGAAAACCGGGGUCUAGCGAAGACCCUCAAGCUAGGAGCGCAGCAUCGAGAAGAGCACAGGAGCAUCAUCAUCGGCCGCAACGGAAAACAGGUACCUGUAGUGAUAAGCCACGAACAAACACACCGAACGAUAUAGGGAUAGCUAGGUUUAGGUAGAUUGUGAGUACCAAUAAACGUGAUACUAAAUUGAUCCCUAGCGUCGAUUGCGAAAUAUUAGUGGUGGUUCGUUUUAUUUUGAGCGAGGAGAGUUUUGAUUAGAUUUUUUAAUUAUUGCGUUCGUACUGAGGUUUGAGAGUUAAGGUCGGUAUUUCGUUGGCGAGAGCUAAGUGUGAGUAGAUUGAGGACUCGGGAAAUCGAAUCGGGAAUCCGGUAAAUUGAGAACCUGCCCUGAGUGUCUCUCUCGGGUUUGUCGGGCUCAGACACACAGUAUUGGCAUCCUUGUAGUCUGCAAGGUUGGCGCUUAAGCUGGUACUGGAAUUGAUGUUCAGUUAAAAACACCCUCACUUUA
This is a long non-coding RNA of Aedes albopictus (Asian tiger mosquito), 1597 nucleotides long. RefSeq lists it as uncharacterized. The record is from RefSeq and is a predicted model, not a curated record. The transcript has 3 exons. Lineage: Eukaryota; Metazoa; Arthropoda; Insecta; Diptera; Culicidae.